GGACUCACAGGCCUCCCUUCCACUCACAGCUUUUUGAAGUAGCUCUGUGGACUUACACCAGAGAGAUGAAAAGCUGAAAUCCAGCUGCCGUUCAUUCCUGCUUUGAGAUUAGGAAAGGUAGAGCUGAAUUUGGGCUAUGUUACUCAGAAGCUUUUCCCCAGCUGAUGGAGGCCUGCCCUGGAGGUGCUCAGCUCCAUCUCUGCUGUCCAGGCUGUGAGCAAGAACACCUAAGGAAAGCCAGCAGCCUCCUUCACUCUCCCUCCCCAUCCAUUCAGGUACAGGCCACAAGUCUGCAGCAUCUCACUACAAAAUCAGCACAGAGGCAGUGAUCACACCACGAUGAAAAAAAAAAAAAUAGAUUAAAAAGAGAGGAAAAAAUCAGCUGCUAGAACAAAAGCCAAACAGAAAUGUGUUCCUUAAAUUAUUAGUAGUGUAUUAGAGGUGAUUUAGCACUCACAUGGCCAUUCCUACAACUGCAGAGACCCUGCAACAUAUCUUAUUCCCUUUGUAAUGCGGAUGGCACUGAGAUUGCUCUCAUCUUCUGGGCUUAUAAGCAAAUAUAUUUAAUUUGGAUGUAAUACAGCCAGGAGGGUGAUUUCUCCAGAUGGCGAUUUAAGCAACAGAUCAAGAGAUGAAUUAAGCACCUCAUUCCUUCAGAUUUUAGGAGAUCUGCAGGUGCCAGGGAUCCUGCCUCCAGCUUGGGUCCAGGGUAAAUUUCGGCCAAGAUGAAGCCUCUUAUUGGCUGCAUGAAUUCUAGCCUCCUUCAUUAACAUGAAGAGUGCCGUGCUCCCCGCUGUCUUAGGAGUUACAGAACAUUUAAAAGAUGAUUUGCGGACAGAUUAAGGACUUCAGAAGGAGAGAUGACACCAGACCUAGGUCUUGCAGAUGCAAACUCCUGUCAAGUGUGAGAGGAGGGGGAGUAUUAUCCACCAGUGGCAGAUAGGCUGGGCAUCUGGGCAGAAUGAUAAGAGCUGUGGCCCUGCAGCCAGUCCCUGCAUUUGCACCCUGAGUUUGCCAUGAGCUGUGUGACCUUAGUCAAGUUUCUCAACCUCUCUGUGCCUCAGCUUCCUUCUCUGAAAAAUGGGGAUCGUGUUUUGCACACAGCCCGACACACAGCAAAUAUUCAGUGACUGCUGCCGCUUUCUGCCAUGGCUAAAGGUGGUGUUGUGGUUUUCCUUCCAGGUUUUUAUGCUUUAAUUUCCUAACUGUUCCUGCAUUACUUCACAGUUGAUGACGUGUGGGGCCAAGCUCUUGGCACACGUGAGCACAGUGGAUAUUCAAGGAGCGUUAACUCGGGUCCAUUUUUCUUUCCAUCAAACACAGCCUCCUGGUAAAAGAGCCAUUCAGGAUGCCUGGAGGAGCCCAGAUUUCAAAUCUGAUGAAGUCUGCAGUUCUAUAAAUUCCCUCCCUCUUUUGUGCUGAUGGCAACGACUUUUAUAUGUAUUUUCAUGUCUUUCUCUCCAGAGAUAAAUUUUGUGGCCUGCCACUGAAUCUGCUUCCUAAAAUGUAGCUUGGAGAUUUUAUUUGAGAUAAACUAUCAUGUGAAUAAAUAUAGAUACUAUAUUUUAAUCUGGGAGCGUUCCAUUUGGAACCUUUUUUUUUUUUUAAAGUCAACAUUAGUGGUGCCGUCAUUCAAAGGAUAUGGACGUUUGGGGGAAAUUUACAUCCAACUGUGACUGAGAACCUUUUGCCAGGAUAAUAUCUGUUUCUCUGAAAAUGACAAUGGCUAUGGACGUAAAGCAUGAUCUCAGAUGGCAGUCCCGAAAUCAGGAAGGUCCAUUUCAACACAUCUCCUGGCCCCUGUGGCAAGCUACAAUGCUGGUAUGCUCGCAUGGUAGGGUCUCUGCCUUGCAGGUAACACGUGUCCAUCUGAGAAUAGUAAAGGAGGUUCAUUUGUUUAUGUGCUGGUGGUGCUGAGGAGUUUCACAGAGGCUGGAAAACAGGGGCUGGCAAUUGAUUCCCCCCAGAGCCCUCCGUUUCACAUUGCCCCACCCCAGAGACCAUGGGAGAUGAUCAUGGGAGAGGAAGGUAAACAUGCAUCAGUGGAGCGGGAGAGUGAAGGGGUGAAGAAACAGGAAACUGCGAUCACUGUGGGACGUUGCCCUUUUUUCAUGACCACGAAGAUGCAAAAUGCUGAGCCUUGUUAUUUCUGGCCCAGGUAGGAAUUGGUGCUUCCAUUUAAUUAGCGUAUCAUAGAAUCAGAUUAUUGACCAUGGGUUGGGUCCACACCAAAACCCCUGAGCGCCUGAGCCCGGGGGAGCCCUAAGCUCUCCUUGUCCGAGAGUCGUGAGGGAGGCACCCUAGGAGCCCCUGCAGGAUUCUAGGGGCCAAUUGAUCUCAUAGCUUUUAGGGAGAAAAUGCCCCUAACAAUACUUUCUUUCUCAUCUGUGCAAUAUGCAAUAAAUUCAUCUACCCACAAACUGAAACGUGAACAACUGCUUAAGUAUCACAAAGCAGUCCAUGAUACACCAAAAAAGAUGCUGUUCCAGGAAAGUAACAAAAUUGCCUGUUCUCCACGCCUCACCCCGUUUAUGGACUUUCAGUUCUCCACGGUAAUAGAGUGGGAGGUGAUGAACAAAGCGAGACCUCACCAGAGGCUGUGUGAUUUGUGGAAACUUUGAAUAACUCUUUUUAUCCCAGGCCCCUUCUAGUGAAAGUCCAUUUUAUGAUUUGUACAAACCAACAUUGUUUUUGCGGGAGGGCAUGUCAACACCCCGAAUGGCUGAAACUGACCCAGAAGUCAAAUUAGCUGGAAUUGAAUCUAUAAAAUGGAUUCAUUUGCACCUCAUUAGAACAUAAAAGCAAAUCCAAGUUCACAUGGGGAGGUGGGGGAGGGCAAAGCGGUACUAAUAGAAGAAAAGAUGUUGGCUGAAAACAUGUUUUGAAAACAAGGUGUUAAAUGAUAAAAUAUGGCAAAAAAAGCAAAUGGAGAAUCCACAAACACAUAUGGGUUAACUCUACUCCAGCACACUGGGCCUGUGAGAAACAGAUUGAGCUUGCACCUUCAAGGCCGUUGUGAUCAAUGGGAGAGCAGACAUGCAAACAAUGGAAGGUAAGGGGGCUGGUGUCACCUGAGGAUGAGGAGAAGGCUAAGCAGAGGCAGGAGAGAGCCUCUCUGAUUAGAGAGGCAGAGAUGGAAUCCGAGAGUCUGGCAUCAAGGGGAGCCUAGAGCAUGAACAUGAUGCUGUUCAGCUGUGUCUGUGUUCACAGAGGCACUGAGACGGGUACCAGGGUGUAGAUGCCAAGGACGGAGAACAUUUGAAGAAGGCAUGGACAGUUGGCAGAGGCAACUGAGGUGCUAAGUGGGAGCAGAUGGGAGGGGCACUGGGGAUGGAGGAGCACCUUGGGGCUCUGAGAGACUGGCUUUGAGGGCACUAGCCCUGAAGCCUGUUCUGUGGGUUAUAAUCCAAGCCAAGUGGUAUCUCCUUUAAAAAAGGUGGCCAGAUUUCUGAUGGCAUCUCUUCAAGGUAUACAUCCAUGGCAGGGAUGAGUCAGCACCCAGCCUUGCUGGACAUGGAAUCAGGCCACAGAGCCUGGUCACGUAGUGCCAUGUAAGUUUCAGUGGGAAGCCUCUCUUACAGUAUACCUGGGCAUUUCCUGUGUCUCCUCCCUGAAAUGUUUUCUGAACAACUUCUGAAAUGUCAGUGUUUCUCUAAAAGAAAGUGAGGAACCUCUGUAAAACACCUUCUUUUUCUUUUGAAAUGGGAUCUCACUCUGUCUCCCAGGCUAGAGAGCAGUGACUCCAUAACAGCUCACUAUAGAUAGCCUCAACCUCCAGGGCUCAAGCAAUCCUCCCACCUCACCCUCUGGACUAGCUGGGACUACAGGCAUGUGCUACCAGGCCUGGCUAAAUUUUUUUCUUUUUUUUAUAGAGACAGGGGUCUCCCUAUGUUGCCCAGGCUGGCCUUCAACUCCUGAGCUCAAGCAAUCCUCCCACCUUGGCCUCCCAAACUACUGGGCUUACAGGCAUAAGCCACUGUGAUUCUUAAACCCUGCCCAUCUCUGCCUACUCCUCUCCCCAGACCACAGCUCUCUAGGACUAACUCCUAUUUAGGAAGCAUAGAGAAAAGUCUGACAAUUAAAAGUGUUUUGUUUGUUGGGUGAUGAAUUUCCAGGGCCUCCAUCUACUGUGUAGCACUUAAUCGUUACUUUUCGUAAUAUUGUGACUAACCUUCCUGGCCAUGAGAACCAGGCUGUCUCUCUUUGAUGUACGGUGAGGAUGCUGGAGUUGUUUUGCUAGGGCUGAAAAUCCUGUGUGCCUCUAGAUGUUAGAUUUCCCUUGGAAAAAGGCUGUAUGGGGCCAGUACAAAGAGAAUUGUUUAUGCUUCUGUGAGGAGAUGCCAAAAAAUAUAUAAGAACAACAACAACAAAAAAUCCGCCAUCAAAUUUACUCCUUAAGUUUACUGACAGCCUGUCACAAUGAAAUAAAACAUUUAUAUUCACUUUAUGGACUUAAUUUAAAAUGACUUAGUUGAAGAAAGCAGCCCCUUGCUUUGAACUACCUGCAAUCCGAACACGAAACUCGUCAUGAGAAUGUGGAAGGAGGUUGCCGGACGCUGCUGGCUGCCUUCCAGCGUCCACUUCCCUUUCUCUCUCUCCUGACACAGCUCCGUCGUGUGUUUGGUCCCCAGGCCUGAGGUCUCUGUGCUGCCGGGGAAGCUGACCAUGCUAGUUCCAAUGGUGGCCUUGGUUUAGAAAAUGCAAAAAAGAUCUCUGCAGGUCAAACAGCGAUAAGGAAAGGUUAGCAGUGAGAAUUCAUCAGACAAGAAGGUGCCUGAGUUUUGGCACAAGGUCACGUUCACUCUCUGCUUUUGACUGUGCUGCUUGUUUAGGCACAGAGAUGCUGUGGCUGAGUGUCUUGCUGGUGGAGGCUGCACAUGCAGCCCUGUGGGAGGUGGAGCCGGUACGGGCAGAUGAUGUCAGAUGUGAAGCGUGCCCACCUGCUGGACUUCCAGGAGGACUAGGCAGAUAACUGCCCUGGUGUUUCAGGCACUUUGAGCUGGGGGUUCCGUUGUUUGUCGAUGAGAGAGUCCCUGGAUGCCAAGAGCUUUAGAGCAUCUUAUCACUCACGUUGGAGUUGGGACCAAAGCGAUUCAAAGGAGGCCACAGUCAGCUGUUCUCAGCAUCUGAAGCCCAUGACUUGCAUCUUUUCCAGAGGCAGCAUCCCAGGCUGUGACGGCCAGCCAGGCAUCCCCGGCAUUCUCCCCGUCCUGCCCAGGAGAAAGGGCCCUGUGACUGCAUGACACUCCCUCUUCCAUCAUCCAUGUUGCAGCCCCUCCAAGCUGGUUAAUGGAGAAAAGGAAUUUCAGAGGCUUAGGGGCUUGCUGCUUUGCCAGCAUUUCUGAAAGGCUUCAGAGCAACUUUAAGGAUUUUUACAACAAUGGCAGUGCUUAUUUGAAUGAUCUUGUACUUUUACCAACACAGUGCAAAGCCCUCCACAUGCAUCCCAGCACCCUAGUUAAGACAGCCCUGUGAUGUGGGCCCCUGAGCUCUCCCUGCUGCACGAAUGAGGAAACGUGCCCGAGAGGGUCCUGGCCUAAGGGGCAGCCUCUGGACUCGCACCCAGGUACUCCUCCUGUGCUCCUCAGGUGCUGUCAUGGCAGCUGCUCUGAGGUCUCAGCACUGCCUGCCCCAGCAUGGCCGAGUUGGGCAGAAGUGCUGGAGCGGAGGUUUGCCUUCUGUAUGGCUGCCUCAGCCAGACCCACGCAUGACUCUGGAAGAUUGUGUGGCGCUCCUGUGCUGUGCACCGUGGUGUCUUCAAUGUCACCAGCAAUCUGAAAUGAUAUUCAUAUUUUCUAAGGUCAGCAGGGCACAGCACACCCAGGAAGCAUCUGAUACUUUGGAAGAAAUCUGGUUUGAUGAUUAUUAGAAUUGCAAGAGUAGCUGUCUUUUAGUAAGUUUCCCCCUACUCCCAUCAGCAAAGUGAUAAGCACUUUCCUUCAUCAUCUUACUUCUUCCUCUCAUCAAUGCUAUACAGCAGGAAUCAGUGUCUCCAUAUCCCAGGGGAAAAAACGAAAGGUCAGAGAGGUUAUGUUCAAGAUUACACAACUUGAAUAUUGUAAGCUCAAGAUUCAAACCCAGAUCUCUCUGAACGUCAGAAAAGCCUGGACUCUUUACCAUUACUGUAUUUAUUUAGACAAAUACAGUUGUAUGUAUUGAUAGUGGACAAAGUAUUUCCAUCUAUGCAUAACAUUGUGGGAUGAGCAAACCAAGGUGAUUGACAUGGGCAUUACUUUACAUAUAUAUCUUUGUGUGUGGGUGUCUAGUGAGAACACUUACCUACUCUCUUAGCAAUUUUCAAGUAUCCAAUACAUUGUUAUUCACCAUAAUGACUAUGUUGUGGGAUAACUCCCUGAGCUUCUCUGCGCCCACCCCCCUAUCUAAAUGACAUUUUGGGUCCUUUCAAAUCACCCUUAUUUCUCUCCCCCAGCUCUAGACCUACAAUCUGCUCACAUUGGUGAAGUGAAAGCACCUGCAGGAUUGAAUUUACCCAGUAGGUUAGGACCCUGCAUGCUCACGGAACCGCCCUACCCAUCCUGCCUCCCCACCUGGCUCUGCCUCCUAAAUGGAUAGAUACAUGCUGUUCUAAAGUUGGCCAAGCUCUAUAGUCUCCUUGGGAAAAUAACAACCUUAGAACAUGGGACAGCCCUGUACUCACAAAUUGAUGUCAUAGCCUAAGACAACCAAGGCAACAGAGGAUUCUCAAGAAGGUAGUGGAGGGGACAAAUAACUUCUACCUCAGGAGAUCAAAACGUGAAGCCACUGGUCACUAUUCUGCUGGCUUACACUGAUGUUUACUCACCAUGACAUAUUAAUGAAAGGCUUUUAAUGUCAGUCAUUUCAAUCACAAAUCCUUACAAAAUAAGCAAAGUGUUACUCUUGCUCCAUGAACAGGAUACAGAGAUUCCUGCUAAAAUCACCCCAAGCUCAACCCUGACCUCACCUGCUUUAAUUAUGCGUGAAGUAAGUCAAAUUCCUUUGCAACAAGCAGGCAUUCAUUAUCUAUAAUUCCUAUUUUAUAACUUUUUUGUUUGAUCUAUCCCAGAAUUCAUUCUGAAGAAAUUCAACAGAAUAAAUGAUCAUUUUCCCUGACCACUUGACUGCUGCUUUGAAUAUGUAAUGUGGCUACACAUGUAUAUUAUUUAUGAAAAAUUGAUUGCUGUAACAUCUCAAUAUUCCUUUCAUGCCCUGUGAAUGUGGACUUAAUACAUUUCCUCUGAAACCCACGACUGGCCUGCAGUACGUGACAAUGCCUUGGAGAGGCGAAUGGAUUUAUUGGUUUGGGCAGCCUGUCGUCUGUGCGGAAAUUAGGGAAUUCCUGCGCACAGUCGGCUCUCGCCUGCACGUCAGGAGCUUCAGCUGGCAUGGGGCGUGAUGACUGUGCUGGCCCAUAGGGCAGUCCCCAGUAAAUUUGGAGGACAAUAUAGACCAGCAUCCCAGCGUUUCUCUAAGGACCAUGGUCUAAAAACCACGCCCCGUGAGGGAGACCCGGGAUGCAGGGAUGCACACUUUCUCCAGCUCCCAGUCUGACUUGAGCCCUGCGGGGUAAGUAUCGGAUUCCUCCAGACGCAGAUCUUGAAACGACUGGGACGGACCCAAGUUGUUUCUUUAGGAGGCAAUUCCAGGCAGAAGUGGGAGAGGCGUGUGGAAAUGAGACAAGGAGGCCGCAGGGGCCAUGGGGAGAUACCACUGGGUGCUCUGGGACCAGAUCCUCCCUGCAGAGGAAGGAUCCCAUGUGUGAGGCCCCGUGUACAUCUUCCGCCUCCCAAGUGUCAUUGCACGGGCACGCACAGAGCCCAGGGUCCCUCUGCAUUCCCUGCCGUGAUGGUGGGGUGGGAGGAAGCCCUAGGGGCUGGGAGUCCCGGAGACCCAUAGAGGACAGAAAAGGACAUGAACUGGACCAGUGAAUACUGCGGGGACAGCGUCUGCAGCUGGGAGGCGUUCCUGAGAGUUUACAAGUCCAUCACCGCCCCGUCCCUCACGGCACACCCAGAGCCUGGGAGUCAAGCCAGAGUGGCUGUGCAAAGCCAUGCCUGCAAUCACUGUCGCUGUUUCUCUGGAAUCCAGAUGAAAAUGAUCUACAGGCAGGGAUGAGACUUGGGGCAGGAGAAUGGUUUGAGGACACAAAGCUCUGGUGUCCUGGUGAACAACAAGAUCUGGUCAACUGCUUUGCCUACAAGAACCUUCUGAAGAGCAAUUCUGGUGUUGGAUGUAUGAGAGAUUGAUGAAUUGUGAAUAAGAUGCACAGCAGGUAAAACAAAACGAAAACAGCCACAAGGGAGCUGUCCCCGCACCUCCACCACAAUGGCAGGGGCAGCAGCGAACCCAGCAAGGAUCCCCUGCCUGCAGUGGCUGCUCAGAGACUUGCGGCUGCCUCUGUCUGAAGGUCUGGCUACUGGAGGAGUUCUAGGAUGGGGAGGGGGGCCCAGGAUCAGGUCGAGCAUUCCUCACUGCUGGACCAGGCAUGAGGUAGCUCACACUUCUGCAGCCUGGAAAAAGAGUGGAUUUGGGCUGCGCACAUCCCUGGUGCCCAAAGCGUGGCCAGAAAGACAGCCCCUGUAUCACCUGGGAGCCUGUUAGAAAUCAGUCUCUGGUUGAGCCCCGGAUCGGAUGACUGGAAAUGUAUAUGUUAAUAAGGUCCCCAGGUGCUUCAUGCUCACAUGACAGUUUGAGAGACAGGGCACUGGCUACAGCUUCUGGCCCAGCUCUGCGUCUUUGGGGACUGAGUCAAGAGGAGCCCGCAUGGGCUUGGAGUUUCCCAUGGGCCUGACACGGCCUUGUUUCAUUUCAUUCACUAAAUGACGGUGCUUGGCAGGAGCACCACCGUCCACCUCUUACAGAUGAGCUCAGAGCUGCCUCAUGAUGUGCUCAGAUGCGUUCUGCAGCAGUCGGUGUGGACAUGGGGCAGCUGCCUCUGCAGUGCACCCAACUCACACCAGACUCUCCUGCCCUCGAUCCCAUGGGAGGUCCAAAUGGCCCCGUCCAAAGAGUGACCCCAGGCCACAGAGCAGCCCAAUCUUGUCCAAUUUGGAUGAUUCUAGGAAGAUUUCCAAACAAGAAAAAAAAAUGUUUCGAACCCAAACUGAAGGAGAUGGCAAAAGACACAAAGUAAUGAAGUGGGAGCCAAAAUGGUUUUCUUUUCCUCCACUGAAUAUUUUUCAUGUGGUAUCGGAUGUUCUUUAAAGGUCAAAUGUUACUAUUGCUCAUUUCCUCCUCAGCUAAUCAAGUAUUACGCAGUGGCUUAAGGUCACAAGCGUGAGUUACUGAUGAAAAUAAAAGCCUGUUCUUGAUUUUGUAAGGGAAACACAUGAUUUGAGUACACGCCUGUAGAAACUACUUUAUGUUCAGGGCAAGCAUGUUCCGCACGUAUUUGAAUUUGGGCAGAUGAUGUUAUCUCAGGUCAAGGAUUUUGAGUGCAAUCUCUGAACACUAUGUACAAGGGCCACCCUCACCAGUGCCAAUCUAGGGGGGAUGGUAUUGAUAGGAAAGGCAGUCGUUUGCAUCCUGACCAAGGCAGACACUGAGUUAUGCAAAAGGACCAAUAAGUUGCCUCAGUUUUCCCUCCUGUACAAUGGGGAUUAUGAGCUGCCUGCCAGCACCGGAGUGAGGGGUAAGUGGGAUAGGAUGGGGCAAAGUGCCUGCCACAUGUUUUCCCAGACUGAGUUCAAUAAAAUAGUAGAUUAGAAAAAAAAAGACUGGAAUAAGUACCCAUAAUUGUGAGCCUCCUUCAUGCUAGGGGCAUGGUAAAACUUCUCUAAUGAAACCCUCACAGUCACCAACAUGGAGGAGGCUGUAUUCCCAAUUUAACAGGAGAGAAAACUGCUGAUCAGAGAGGUUGAGGGACUUACAUAGGAUUGCAGAGCUGCUGAGUCCCAGCCUUUCCUGGCCUGACAUCAUCCUGUAGUGGGAGUCUCCCCAAGGUCCUAAAGCAUUGACAGCCUCACCCCUGGCUCACCCCAUGGUGGUGGCUGUAUGAGGAGAAAUAGCCUCUGCGUCUUAGUACCUGUCCCAAAGGGAGGUUUCCUGUGCUGAGCUAAUGGAGCAAGGCCACCAUAGCUUGGAGGACUGAAUUAAAACCCCAAGUGGGGUCUGCUGGGUGCUGGUCAAAUGAUGGGGAAGGGGAGCUCUAGGUACAGGAUUCCCCUUUUGCCCAAAACUCACCACCUUCCAUUUCCAUUCACCAUCAUAGGAUUUCUUUGGACAUAAGAGAGAACCCACUCCAAGUAGUUUAACCAAAAAGGGGAGGGGAAGCAUUCAGAAAACUCUCAGGGGACCCAGUUUCAGAGAGCAGAGCCACAUCCCUUGGGAGCUGGGAGCAGGAGAGGAAGCAGGUGUGGGGGUGGGCAGGGGCAAGCAGGGAGGGCCAAGGUGGCUCUUCUGUCAAUGUUGCUUCACCCAGUACGGGCUCCUCGCUCCCUCUCCCCCUCCCCUCCCCCUCCCCACUCUCCUGUCUCCCUUUCUACUGCAGGUGGUGAAGGUGGCACAGCGUUCAUCCAUACAGUUAGCAAAGGUGGGGAACUGGGGGCUGGGAAGGAACAUUCCACCUGAGGGAGGGGCGAAGAAAGGAGGACAGGGGAAGGAUUUGCAAGAUAUGGUGGUCUAUGGAUUAGAUUCUAGCAAGAGGGAUUUCAGGAAUAAAUGAUGUAAGAACUCAAUGAGAAAAUACGCUUGGGUAAGGCAGAGCCUUGGAGGGAGUUGGGAACUGGGGAGCCAGGAAUGAAUGCCAGUUAUGGGGAUGGGGCUUCUCCCAGGGGUGCCUCAUCCACCCUCCUUCCUUUCAUGGCCACCCUCCUCUGCUCAUCUAAGGAUGGGCAGAUUGCACUUUUCCAUGUUAGGCAACACGCUGUGCAAAUACAGCUUUAAGCUGCUUUCCAACGAGGCUCUGCAGAAAGGCGUCCCCUGAGAAAGGCGAAGCCAUCAGGAGAGCUGAGGGCUGGAGGCUGCUCAGCACUGCUGUUUUCGCCCCUGGCCAGGGCUCCCCCUCCAAGCCCUGCAUCAUCUCUCUGCUCUGUCCAGAGACACACCUCCAGGGGUUGCUCUUGUUUCCUCCCCUUUUCUUUGGAAUUCUCUUAAAUCAGGCCUGUGUCCCCCUCAGCCCUCGGUCCCAGGCACGAGUAGCUCCUGGGAUUUCCACAUUCCCAGAUCCAGGAAUCAAUGCAUCCUCAUCUUCUCAUGUCCUUGCAGCACUGGAUGGGGGUCAGCUCCCACCUUCUCCCUGAAGUGUUUUCUCACUGGGUUUCUGGAACAUUCUGCCAUUGCUUUUCUCCCAUCUCCCAGGAGCUUGCAGAGGUGUGGUCCUUGGGCCUCUUUCCUCCCCCAGGUACCCCUGCUAGAUGACCUCAUCUGCGUCAGGGAUUCCUAUUUCAUUACAGGGACCUCCUCCCUGGUCUCCCAAGGGGCAUUUCUGGCCACCUCUUUGGCAACUGCGUUGGAGAGGAUAACAGGCUUCUCCCUAAAGGGCACUUCUAGCCUUGCCCCAGCCAGCACUUCCAGCAUUGCCUUUCUUCCGGGUGCUCAGAUCAAAACUUUCAAGCGUCUUUUCUUCCAAGCUUGGCUUCUCUGUUAGGAAGUCUCGCCAGCUCUGUCUUCCAACCAGGGGCACUUCCAGCACCUCCACCACCGUCGCCAGGGGCCGAGCCACCAUGCUGUUAUCUGAAGGACUACGUGGCCCACCCAACUGGGCCCCCUGCUUCUGGGCUUCUUCUCCUGCAGGAGCACAGUGAACCUGUAGCCUUGAUUCCACUUAAUCAAAGCUCAACGGCCUCCCGUCCGUUUGACUGGAAGUGUCUGCUCAGUGGCUGACAAGGCUCCGACCUUACCUCCUCCCCUCAGCCACAGGAAGAGCCACAUCGCCUGCCCUUCCUGCUGUCUCCUGAAUGUGUCAGGCCAGCUCUGACCCAGAACAUCUGCAGCUCCCUCUGCCCUCUUCGGGAGUGCUCUUCAGAAAAGUCUGCACGGCUUACUGCCCGCCUCCUUCCUGCCUUCCCCCAAGGGGGUCUUCCUCUCCAGGAGACUCUGAGCAAUGCAUGUAAAAUUGUGGCACCCGUCUUGUCUACUCAUCAUCCACGACGUAUUCUCCCUGCGACACGUGUGCUCAUCUAAGGAUGUGCUAAUGAUUUAUUCAUGUAUUUGUUUACUUGUGCAUUCAUUUAUUAUCUGUCUUCCAUCACCAGAAUACAGGUGUUAUGAGGGCAGGACUUUUGUACUUGUUGUCCUCUUUUGUACUUGUUGUUUAUUUGUUGCAUGACUAAAUAAAAGCAGCCCUGGCAGAGAGAA
Molecule: long non-coding RNA, 12276 nt
Organism: Homo sapiens (human)
Lineage: Eukaryota; Metazoa; Chordata; Mammalia; Primates; Hominidae
Exons: 2
Source: RefSeq, a predicted model, not a curated record